Molecule: long non-coding RNA, 4026 nt
Organism: Zalophus californianus (California sea lion)
Lineage: Eukaryota; Metazoa; Chordata; Mammalia; Carnivora; Otariidae
Exons: 3
Source: RefSeq, a predicted model, not a curated record
AGAGCAAGGUGCCCCCCCCCCGCCCCCCCCAACAUCCCUGCUGAGGCUGCCUCCCUGACAGAGCAAACCAGUGCUUAUGAGGCAGCUCCCAAUCAACUCUCUCUCUCUCCCUCUCAGAUGGACAGACAGGUGACCUGGCUUCCACUAUUCGCAAUAUCCCUUUGGGUCCCUGGUUCUGGUCUGCAGGAAUCCCUGUAUUAAAUGCCAUUCCUUGGCAGAAGAAGGAAUACCCCAGAAAUGACUGAUUUCCCAGGAUCGUGAAGAUCAGAGGCGGCAAAGAUGCACUGAGCACAGACAUCCUGGCUUUUACUCUGGUCUUGGCUGCUUACGAGCUGGUGACCCUGGAUGAGAAGACUGCAGCCCAGUCAUGGGACACGACUGCCCGAGCCUGCAGAGCUGGAAGGAGGGGGAGCCGAGGUUCCACCCUAGGCAUCUCGGUACCAAGACCUGAGCCCUUACCCGCUUCUCUAGUGAGUUUUGGAAUUCAAGAGGUUUGCAAGAAACUGUUCUAAACUGUUCGGAUAAAUGCAGAAUAUGACUUCCCCGUCGUGACUGGUGCACUCUGAAAGGUUUCACCUGGAGACACUCGGCGAGAAGCACACACAAGUAGUCAGCAGCGAGGAAGCUCAGCCAGAGCUCAGCCUUGUCACUUCAUAGAUACAGUAAGAGCCAGGGAAGCUUGCAAAAACAAUCAUCACAGGAUUUUUUAUAAUUUUCUGAGAUUUCAGGCUCUCCUGUUUCCCAAUCUGGGCAGUUUCAAAGGGUCUGCACAACACCAAAGGAGAAUAUUCCAGAGGCCUCUGUAAGGACACAGAGAAGUCACACACACCCAAAGCAUAAAGCCACCAAAAGGAGAGAAUGGUCAAGAAAACAGGUCACUUGCAAACCCUGGAAGAAGGUGAGAUGUGAACAGAAGCUGAAAUGAGGGCUUAGUUGAAGAUACUAGGUGAGCUGUGUGCUGCCUACUAGCUCCUCUCUGAGGACGAAGGUAUCUUUGUAUCAACUCCAAGCUCAGCAGGACAAACAACGCAGCUAUAAGGGACUAGUUAAAACUGUUGCAUUGUCAUAUCGUGGAAAUGAUGCAGCUAAUAAAGAGAAGGAGGUACAUCUAUCUGUAUGUUUGGAUGUAUAAUGAUGUCUGUGAUGUAUUAAGCACAAAACGAUAUAUACCUGUGUAUAGCAUGAUCCUGUCUUUGUAAGAAAGUGUACGUGCUUAUGGAGAUGCGUAGAAAAAGUGAGGCAAUAUAAGGCCAAAGUAGUAAGUGUGAUAUCGGAGUGGUGGCUGAGGGUGAAGGAAACUAGGAUCUUCCACUUCCUGCUAAGUUACUGUUUGGGAAUUUUCAUUUAAAUUUCUAAAAAUGAUUUGAGCACACAAGGCAAUACAAGUUUGUUAUAACAUUUUCAACCCUAGGAGUGUUCGAAACAGAAAGUGAGGCAAGGAGGUAGACAGGCAGAUGGUCAAAGGGGUACCUGAAGAGUUCCCCUUCCUUCUUUACCAGAGGCGGGGCACCCACUGCUGUGGGCCUUAGCAACUCCUGCUGCUCGAAGGGACAUGCACCCUCCUUGGGUGCAAAAACGAGGCACAAAGGGUGGUGCACGCCUCCCGGAGGCCCAGCGUACUGCUCUGCUCCCCACAGCCAAUGCGCCAGGACAGUUCCUCGCAGGUUCGCUGCUCCAUGACGUGAGUCCUAAUUCAGGGUUCAAGCUCUCUAGAUGGCUCCACUUGCAGAGAUUCUUCUCAAGGCUUUAGAAGGUCUCACUGUGUGCUCUGUGAGCUCCGGUAGACAGCUCAAGGGCUAGUGGCCUCCCACGGGCAUGCUCACCUGAAGAGCCCAUUGCUAUCUAUUUUGCACACCAAGGCUCUGCACAGGGCUCUGUCUGAACAGUAGGGUUCCACGUUCCCGAGACUAAAAUAGCCGUCAACUGGACAACUGUUAGAAAGCUUUAAAAUGGCUCAGAAUUAAGAUGCUGGUUGCUCAUUGUUGGCAAGAGAAAAAAAAAAACUGGAAAGAGUGCAAAUAUUUUUCAAUAGGAGUUUAGGACAAAAAUGGAGGGGGGAGUGGGAGAAAUAAUUUAUAGCACUUCCAAAAAGAAAAGGAAAUGAAAUAGAACACUUAACAGCCGUUACAAUGAGGUAGAUUUUUAUAUACUGACAUGGGUAAGUGGGGAGGGGCGGCAGGGGAAAGACCAAGAUCUACUGGUAAGUGAAAAAAGCAAAUUGAGAAACAUUGUGGAAGACACAAUCCAUUCUUAAGGGUGGUGGGACUGCAUGUAUAUAUAAUAUAGAGAGAUGGGGAGGGAAGGAAAGCGGAUGAGAGAGCAUGAGAACGAAUAUUUCUAAAUGGAGAAAAAAGUUAAGACAACUAUCCAAAUUGUUAACAAUGGCUAUUUUUUGGAAGGGAGGAAACAGAUUACUGGUGACUUUUAUUUUGAGGCUUUUUACGUUUAAGUUCUACAUUUAUUUGUGGGAAUUUUUUCAAAUGAGCAUAUACUUUUUUUUUUCAUAAAAAUCAUUAAGAUUUAGAAUAACGUCCAGGUUGCCUGUUUCUCAGUGGGAAACAGGACAGUACCCCCAAUCACCCUCUGUACAAGAGAACAUAAACUCAGACCGGAACUAUCACCUCUGAGAGUAAGGUCAUCCUUGUGUGUCCCUGGCAUUGUCAAUACAGAAUUAGACUCAGUACAUGAAUCCUAAGAGACAGUCAAGAAGCAAUAACCCACCAUCAGAGGCAGUUUUUGGUUUCUUCAAUAAUGCAUUAGGUCAGUGCUAACGGAAAUCUUUACUAUGCUUCGGAGUCCUAAACUCCCAGGACUAAACAAGAGCUCAGAAGUAAUUUGCCCCACUCCCAAAAGACCUCAGGGAAAUCACAUGCCCUCCUGGAAAACGGAGAUGGACAGCUCCUAGGCCAGGGAACUCUAGGAAAGGAAACCUCACAAUUUCUUAGGACAAAACGUCACAAGAGGGCGAAAGAUUCCCUCUGGUCCCUUGAAUAUACUUGAUUAAAGCAGGAUUCUGGUUACACUCUCUCCGUAUUGCUGAACAUCUUUACCAAUCUUCAACAUUUCCCAUCUCUAGGUAAGUUGAGGUUUGGAGUGGCAAUAGCAGUAUAAUGGAUACUAUUUAUAGAUGUAACACCGGGACAGAGCCCACUACCUCAAACUUUGUAUUUUGGAGUGAAUGUUAAAGUCCUCCCUAUGUCCCCAAAUUCGUAUGUUGAAAUCCUACCCUCUCCCCACUACCCAAGGUGGUUAUUAGGAGGCGGGGACUUGGUGGUGAUGAGAUCAUGGGGGUGGAGCCCUCACGAAUGGGAUUAGUGCCCUUAUGAGAGAGGCUCCAGAGAAUGUCCUCACCCCUUCCACAUGGGAGCACGCAGUAAGAAGAUGGCUGCCUAUGAACCAAGAAAGUCCUCACCAGACACUGAAUCUCCUGGAAGCUUGAUCUUGGAAUUCUAGCCUCCAGGACUGUGAGCAACAAAUGUCCAUCCCUGAAGCCACGCCAUCUGUGGUAUUUCUGUUGCAGCGGGCUGAACUCCACUCUGCAAUCAAGAUGCACCAUCAUCUUGUUGGGGGCAAGAUGCACCAUCAUCUUGUUGUGGGGGGGGGUUGCCUUUUGGGUAAAGCCUCAUGGGCCAAAUGGCUGAGUUAUUAUCCACAGGUGAGUUAACCCCAGAGAUUUAAUGCUGUUUAUUACUAAACUGUGUUUCUGUAAUAGACCAUUAUUACAGCAGAUAAGUUUGAGGAUUUAAGGGGCCACUGUUUUGAUAAUAUGUAUACGAAUAAGAUUUUAUAAAAAAUAUGAGUGCCUAAAAAUAAUUAAAUACUUUAUUCUCAAAUGCUUACUUGUUAUCAAUGACAGCUGAAUCUAACCUUGAUUUUGCCAUCUGGUUUAUGCAGAAAGCCCUUCCAUUCACGGAGUAUCAGUGCAUUGUGAAAAGUCUACUGUGGUCAUAGAAAUGAUUUCUCGGUUCCAAUAUGCCAUCCACAUACCCGACUCCUGUCUUUGGGGUAAUGCACAGUCAACAAACG